GAUGAACGCUGGCGGCGUGCUUAACACAUGCAAGUCGAACGGUGAAAGAGAGCUUGCUCUCUGGAUCAGUGGCGAACGGGUGAGUAACACGUGAGCAAUCUGCCCCUGACUCUGGGAUAAGCGCUGGAAACGGCGUCUAAUACCGGAUACGAGCUGCGAAGGCAUCUUCAGCAGCUGGAAAGAACUUCGGUCAGGGAUGAGCUCGCGGCCUAUCAGCUAGUUGGUGAGGUAACGGCUCACCAAGGCGUCGACGGGUAGCCGGCCUGAGAGGGUGACCGGCCACACUGGGACUGAGAGACGGCCCAGACUCCUACGGGAGGCAGCAGUGGGGAAUAUUGCACAAUGGGCGAAAGCCUGAUGCAGCAACGCCGCGUGAGGGACGACGGCCUUCGGGUUGUAAACCUCUUUUAGCAGGGAAGAAGCGAAAGUGACGGUACCUGCAGAAAAAGCGCCGGCUAACUACGUG
RNAcentral lists this ribosomal RNA (466 nucleotides) under uncultured bacterium. Its description in RNAcentral is "partial 16S ribosomal RNA". It matches the Rfam family "Bacterial small subunit ribosomal RNA", at positions 28 to 507 of the family's 1533-position model. The record is from RNAcentral.